This 873-nucleotide long non-coding RNA is filed under the name Brachypodium distachyon (stiff brome). RNAcentral describes it as "long non-coding RNA (BDIS_LNC003698)". Lineage: Eukaryota; Viridiplantae; Streptophyta; Magnoliopsida; Poales; Poaceae. The record is from RNAcentral.
AGCUGAAGAUGAAAAUAACCGCUGAAUGAAAAUGUGGUCGCAAGGCCCGUAACCGAUAAAAGGAAUUGUUUCAGGCCGGCGGAUGUGGGACCAUUUGUCCUUUAGGCAUUGACAAUUGGACCCAACUUUCUUGUUCCUCCGGUGCUCUUGUAAUAGGUCUCCGCCUCUUCAUUGCUCAGAAGAUACGUCUGACCGCGUCAGAGAUACCAGCAGGCAACUCACCUCAUGGCCGUGAGGCCGGUAAUAGAUAAAAAAUACAAUUUUGCUAUUUCUAAGCUCUAUUUAUAACUCGAUACUAACAACCUCUGAUCCAAUUACUGAGAUUUGUGCAACAUUCACAAGUACAAUUGAGAAAAAAAAAUCUUAAUCGAAUGACUGUACUCGUCUAUUGAGAAAUAACUAUCUCUAACUCAACAAAAAAAAAUUUUAGUGGAACAGCCGAAGCUUUAUUAGCUAGAAAAGUUCAUAGGGAUACAAAUACUGGCUGGUGGAUGAUCCAACCAGACAUAACGUACAGCCUCAAAAGACGUUGCUAGUCGAGCUAAUCUAUGAGCUUCUCCAUUUGCUUCACGUCGUUCGUGAUCAAAGAUGGUCUCCCGUAGCUGUAACUUCCUCGUCGCAAUACCUCGAAUGAUCAGUGCAUGCGGUCCAAACUGCUUCUCACCAUUGAUCUCCUUAAUAACAUUCAAAAAAUCCGAAGCAAUCUUAAUUCGUUGGGCCUUAAUAUCAACCGCCAGAGAGAUGGCUUCAUCACAAGCAUGAGACUCCAAGAUUUCAGAAUUUGACAAACCGUCGAAGACCACCGCAGAAGCACCAAUGUAUAAACCAUUUUCAUUCCGACACACGGUCGCUAUCGCUCCCUUUGGCAGGCCC